Molecule: non-coding RNA, 3085 nt
Organism: Xyrichtys novacula (pearly razorfish)
Lineage: Eukaryota; Metazoa; Chordata; Actinopteri; Labriformes; Labridae
Source: the annotation of a GenBank genome assembly
UCGACCUCAAAUCCGCGCUUGUUUUGAUGUCUUCACCGGGGAUUUGUCCCGCGGACCAUUUCGCUGUUUAACGGAAAAGCAAUAGUGCACGUCAAUUAUCCAUCUGUGGAAAAAAAAACACUCCAGUGAUUGAAACUUAAAAUACCCCCGGAUUUGGACUGAAACAAACUGGACAGGCAACCCCCGGCUCUUUCCCAGGAGUGCUGAUGGAGGAACGGGGACUGCGGUCGGUUAACCCCCGGGUCCAAAUUAUCCACAGCCCCCACAAAAAGGGGACUAUCCUCGGGUACCGGAGAGGCUCACUCCCCGUGGUGCUUCGCGUCUCAGGUUAACAACAGGUUAGAGAAAACAAAACAGGAAGGAUGAGAAGUUUUAUCAAGAAUAUCUCAGGACUUCGUGUUUCCUUAAAUUAGUUCAUACGGCGGGAAAGAGUAGUUAGCGCGAGCCAGAAGAAAGUGAGCACGAGCCACAUAGUGAGCACGAGCCAGCCGUUGGUCUCAUCGCCGCUAAUGCGACAGGGAGGAAGCUUUUUCUCCUUUCCUGCUUUUUUCCACUCCUCCAAAAGUCCGUGGAGGAAAAUAAACAGUUACUUCACCCUCUUUUCCGUAUCGGUUCACACUCACGGGGCUCUGUGCCAGCUGCAGGCGUCGUUUUUUAGCCGAUUUCCCCGGUCUCGGCGCCCCCGUUGAGGCUUCUGGGAAGCUGAACCAAGCGAUGCGUCUCCCUUAACUGAACACCUGCCACUCUUCGACACAGACUUUGGGGAAAGAGAGGGCCAUUGUCCAGCUUUUGCUCAAUAACUCAACAAGUUUUCGGUCCAGCGGGAAUUCUGUAUUCAUGAGAAUUAAUCGCCUUCCCCGCUAACGUUCGUGUUUUUGGCUCACUUUCUCCGUUCAAUCUGUCCCUCGAUCUAUCCCAAACUCAAAAACCAAACUUCUAUUCACUAUCAUCCGUAGUCGCUGAUUGGUCGAACUCAGUACCAUCGCUGUUGCUAUUGGACCAUACACAACAGGGGGCGGGACCUACCUCAAGCAUUCAGAGUGUGGUGGACGGCGCCCCCAAACCCCCACAAAAUAUAGGGAAUUAGUUUACUUUUUUCCUCCAUGAACAGAGGAUGGAUUGUCCGUUUUAAUUGUUGAGGGGCUUUAUGUUAUUAGUUUGGCCAAUAAACUUCACUUUGAAGAAAUCCUCUGUGUAAAAUGAUGGGAAAGCUGGACUAAACUGAAAAAAGACAUAGCCUGGGGAUUUUUCACCUUGCAUACUUCAAAAGACGGUUGACUGUGUCUUAAUAAAGUGAAGAGGAACUCUUAAGUACCUCUGCUGAUCCAGAUACACACACAGCCACAUGUUUUAUUGCAAAAUAACUCCCCGGAGCUUCCUCUGUCACUACAAGUGAUAACCUAGUUUCUUUCAUGGUGAUGGUCAUUAAAUGGCGCAUUAAUAUUAAAGCCUACAUCACAGUGACCUUAUCUUUUAUUGCCUCAAUAAAUCCUCUGAGGCAAACUUUCCAUCCCAAGUAGCCAAAUAGUCACUCUCUGCCGUCUAACUGUCUGCAGCCCAUUCUUCAUAAGCACCUUUACCUUAGAUCAUCCAUUUGUCUUUCCAUCAAGGCUUAUUCAGUUUCUAACUUUGUUUCCAGAGUAGCAGCUAAUGCUGCUCGGAGUUUCCAUGAAAGUGUCCUGCUGCUCAGUGUGCCAUGCCAAACCAAACCACUCUGGAAUCCACAUUAACUCACCAAACUCCCUACUUUCUGAUUCAACAAACUGCAAUCCCAACUAGAUUAUAAUAUCCAAAGAGAGGCGUCUGCAGGAAAAUCCCCAUCAAAAAAAAGAAGUAAAUAAACUUGAGGAAUGUGAUGACUCUGGAGCCAAUCAUGUGUUAUAUGUAUUCACACAAAGUCUUUAUAACUACAUUCGGUUAAAUUUUGGCAAGAUUAAAAAAAACACAAUCCUCAUUUUCAUAAUUUUUAGUAACUAAAUAAUCCAAGAUUCUUCCUGUUUCUUAUAAUAAAUUCAUUUACCAAGAAUUGUAUUUCAAUUAAGCAGUUUGAAGACGCUCUUUAAACCCUGAACAUCUCAUCCACUGAGGUUAGGGUAAAUAAGAAGGCGUACCGUUGUAGGGGGUUGUCUUAGAUGUAUCUUAGUUUCAUGAAAAUUAGGGGAGAAACAUUUAUUUACAUACCACUGAAUUUCAAAAGCAAAUGAAAAUAUUUGGAUCAAACUGGAGGAAUAAAAAAGCGUUUGAAGAAUUGAGAAAAUAUGCAGUUUAUUAUGUAGAAAAUGGUCCCUGACUUAAACUAGAGAAUAAGAUUUACGGCACAGUGAAACCUUGGUACUGAAAUGUAAAUGUGGAAAACUGCUCUUAGAGUCUUUUCUAGUCUAUUAAUAAAUGUUUCAUAUAAUUAACACCCAGCAAGAAACCUUUUACUGUCCAUCAAAGCUCGGUUCUCCAGCAUUUCUCUACCGUACCAAUUUAACCAGGCUGACAGGGAUGUUGGAGUUACUUCCUCUCUGUUUCAGUACAUGGAUAACUUUUGUCAGAAUGAUGUCGACACCCUCAGAAAAAAAUCCAGAAAGUUUUCAGACACCCCUGCCUCAGGUGACCGGGCACCUUUACUUGAAGUCGACCGUAUUUCUGUCACAAAUGUCACAAACUUUUUUUUAUAGCCUUGUGUAUGUCAGCUUUGAGGUGCACUCUCUUUUUUGCUUGACUGCACAACACAAAACCCCUCUGGGUUUCUUUUUCUCACCUAUUAGGUGCUAAAACUUGAGCAGCUGCACACCUGGCUGACCUGUUCUAACAAACUACCUGCCCGCUGCUCUUUUCACCUCUGGAUAUUGACCUCUUUUUCUCUCUCCCUUAGUCGCCCACCUCCGCCUCUCUCCUCACCGGGAAAGCAGCGAUGUGAUUUUUGACACAGAGACAGCCUGCUCCUCAACUUUGGGUGUCAGCCAGUUGCUAUGAUACCAUCAAGAUUUUACCAUCUUCAGUCCUACUCGGAUACAACUGUGUUUUCUGACUCCCUCUACAUGGUUUCUUUUACUCUUAAACUGCCCUCUGCUCUACUUUCAAUGCUGUCCUUGAG